Molecule: ribosomal RNA, 1377 nt
Filed under: Psychrobacter okhotskensis
Lineage: Bacteria; Pseudomonadati; Pseudomonadota; Gammaproteobacteria; Moraxellales; Moraxellaceae
Description: bacterial SSU rRNA
Rfam family: Bacterial small subunit ribosomal RNA
Source: RNAcentral
CUUGCUACCAGGCGUCGAGCGGCGGACGGGUGAGUAAUACUUAGGAAUCUACCUAGUAGUGGGGGAUAGCUCGGGGAAACUCGAAUUAAUACCGCAUACGACCUACGGGAGAAAGGGGGCAGUUUACUGCUCUCGCUAUUAGAUGAGCCUAAGUCGGAUUAGCUAGAUGGUGGGGUAAAGGCCUACCAUGGCGACGAUCUGUAGCUGGUCUGAGAGGAUGAUCAGCCACACCGGGACUGAGACACGGCCCGGACUCCUACGGGAGGCAGCAGUGGGGAAUAUUGGACAAUGGGGGAAACCCUGAUCCAGCCAUGCCGCGUGUGUGAAGAAGGCCUUUUGGUUGUAAAGCACUUUAAGCAGUGAAGAAGACUCCGUGGUUAAUACCCACGGACGAUGACAUUAGCUGCAGAAUAAGCACCGGCUAACUCUGUGCCAGCAGCCGCGGUAAUACAGAGGGUGCAAGCGUUAAUCGGAAUUACUGGGCGUAAAGGGAGCGUAGGUGGCUCGAUAAGUCAGAUGUGAAAUCCCCGGGCUCAACCUGGGAACUGCAUCUGAUACUGUUGAGCUAGAGUAUGUGAGAGGAAGGUAGAAUUCCAGGUGUAGCGGUGAAAUGCGUAGAGAUCUGGAGGAAUACCGAUGGCGAAGGCAGCCUUCUGGCAUAAUACUGACACUGAGGCUCGAAAGCGUGGGUAGCAAACAGGAUUAGAUACCCUGGUAGUCCACGCCGUAAACGAUGUCUACUAGUCGUUGGGUCCCUUGAGGACUUAGUGACGCAGCUAACGCAAUAAGUAGACCGCCUGGGGAGUACGGCCGCAAGGUUAAAACUCAAAUGAAUUGACGGGGGCCCGCACAAGCGGUGGAGCAUGUGGUUUAAUUCGAUGCAACGCGAAGAACCUUACCUGGUCUUGACAUAUCUAGAAUCCUGCAGAGAUGCGGGAGUGCCUUCGGGAAUUAGAAUACAGGUGCUGCAUGGCUGUCGUCAGCUCGUGUCGUGAGAUGUUGGGUUAAGUCCCGCAACGAGCGCAACCCUUGUCCUUAGUUACCAGCGGGUUAAGCCGGGAACUCUAAGGAUACUGCCAGUGACAAACUGGAGGAAGGCGGGGACGACGUCAAGUCAUCAUGGCCCUUACGACCAGGGCUACACACGUGCUACAAUGGUAGGUACAGAGGGCAGCUACACAGCGAUGUGAUGCGAAUCUCAAAAAGCCUAUCGUAGUCCAGAUUGGAGUCUGCAACUCGACUCCAUGAAGUAGGAAUCGCUAGUAAUCGCGGAUCAGAAUGCCGCGGUGAAUACGUUCCCGGGCCUUGUACACACCGCCCGUCACACCAUGGGAGUUGAUUGCACCAGAAGUGGAUAGCUUAACCUUCGGGGGAGCG